CUACGGGAGGCAGCAGCAGGGAAUCUUGCGCAAUGGGCGAAAGCCUGACGCAGCAACGCCGCGUGGGGGAUGAAGGCCUUCGGGUUGUAAACCCCUUUCAGGAGGGAAGAAAUUGACGGUACCUCCAAAAGAAGGACCGGCCAACUACGUGCCAGCAGCCGCGGUAAUACGUAGGGUCCGAGCGUUAUCCGGAAUCAUUGGGCGUAAAGAGCUCGUAGGCGGUUCAGCAAGUCGGCUGUGAAAGUCCGAGGCUCAACCUCGGAAUUGCAGUCGAUACUGCUGUGACUCGAGUCCGGUAGAGGAGAAUGGAAUUCCCGGUGUAGCGGUGAAAUGCGCAGAUAUCGGGAGGAACACCAGUAGCGAAGGCGGUUCUCUGGGCCGGCACUGACGCUGAGGAGCGAAAGCGUGGGGAGCAAACAGGAUUAGAAACCCCGGUAGUCC
RNAcentral lists this ribosomal RNA (441 nucleotides) under uncultured bacterium. Its description in RNAcentral is "bacterial SSU rRNA". It matches the Rfam family "Bacterial small subunit ribosomal RNA", at positions 339 to 796 of the family's 1533-position model. The record is from RNAcentral.